ACGUAGGUGGCAAGCGUUGUCCGGAUUUAUUGGGCGUAAAGCGCGCGCAGGCGGUUCUUUAAGUCUGAUGUGAAAUCUCGCGGCUCAAUCGCGAGCGGUCAUUGGAAACUGGGGAACUUGAGUGCAGAAGAGGAGAGUGGAAUUCCACGUGUAGCGGUGAAAUGCGUAGAGAUGUGGAGGGACACCAGUGGCGAAGGCGACUCUCUGGUCUGUAACUGACGCUGAGGCGCGAAAGCGUGGGGAGCGAACAGGA
Molecule: ribosomal RNA, 253 nt
Filed under: uncultured prokaryote
Description: partial 16S ribosomal RNA
Rfam family: Bacterial small subunit ribosomal RNA
Source: RNAcentral